This 450-nucleotide ribosomal RNA is filed under the name Micrococcus luteus. Its description in RNAcentral is "bacterial SSU rRNA". It matches the Rfam family "Bacterial small subunit ribosomal RNA", at positions 28 to 492 of the family's 1533-position model. The record is from RNAcentral. Lineage: Bacteria; Bacillati; Actinomycetota; Actinomycetes; Micrococcales; Micrococcaceae.
GAUGAACGCUGGCGGCGUGCUUAACACAUGCAAGUCGAACGAUGAAGCCCAGCUUGCUGGGUGGAUUAGUGGCGAACGGGUGAGUAACACGUGAGUAACCUGCCCUUGACUCUGGGAUAAGCCCGGGAAACUGGGUCUAAUACCGGAUAGGAGCGCCUGUCGCAUGACGGGUGCUGGAAAGAUUUUUCGGUCAUGGAUGGACUCGCGGCCUAUCAGCUUGUUGGUGAGGUAGUGGCUCACCAAGGCGACGACGGGUAGCCGGCCUGAGAGGGUGACCGGCCACACUGGGACUGAGACACGGCCCAGACUCCUACGGGAGGCAGCAGUGGGGAAUAUUGCACAAUGGGCGGAAGCCUGAUGCAGCGACGCCGCGUGAGGGAUGACGGCCUUCGGGUUGUAAACCUCUUUCAGCAGGGAAGAAGCGAAAGUGACGUACCUGCAGAAGAGCCC